GAGUUUGAUCCUGGCUCAGGACGAACGCUGGCGGCGCGCCUAACACAUGCAAGUCGAACGGAGCUGAGAGGAGCUUGCUUUUCUUAGCUUAGUGGCGAACGGGUGAGUAACGCGUGAGUAACCUGCCCUGGAGUGGGGGACAACAGUUGGAAACGGCUGCUAAUACCGCAUAAGCCCACGAUCCGGCAUCGGAUUGAGGGAAAAGGAUUUAUUCGCUUCAGGAUGGACUCGCGUCCAAUUAGCUAGUUGGUGAGGUAACGGCCCACCAAGGCGACGAUUGGUAGCCGGACUGAGAGGUUGAACGGCCACAUUGGGACUGAGACACGGCCCAGACUCCUACGGGAGGCAGCAGUGGGGGAUAUUGCACAAUGGGGGAAACCCUGAUGCAGCGACGCCGCGUGGAGGAAGAAGGUCUUCGGAUUGUAAACUCCUGUUGUUGAGGAAGAUAAUGACGGUACUCAACAAGGAAGUGACGGCUAACUACGUGCCAGCCGCCGCGGUAAUUC
RNAcentral lists this ribosomal RNA (506 nucleotides) under uncultured bacterium. Its description in RNAcentral is "bacterial SSU rRNA". It matches the Rfam family "Bacterial small subunit ribosomal RNA", at positions 9 to 526 of the family's 1533-position model. The record is from RNAcentral.